GGUAGUUAAGUCAGAAGUGAAAUCCAAUAGCUCAACUAUUGAACUGCUUUUGAAACUGAUUACCUAGAAUAUGGGAGAGGUAGAUGGAAUUUCUGGUGUAGGGGUAAAAUCCGUAGAGAUCAGAAGGAAUACCGAUUGCGAAGGCGAUCUACUGGAACAUUAUUGACGCUGAGACGCGAAAGCGUGGGGAGCAAACAGGAUUAGAUACCCUGGUAGUCCACGCCCUAAACGAUGUACACUAGUUGUUGUGAGGCUCGACCUUGCAGUAAUGCAGUUAACACAUUAAGUGUACCGCCUGGGGAGUACGGUCGCAAGAUUAAAACUCAGAGGAAUAGACGGGGACCCGCACAAGCGGUGGAGCAUGUGGUUUAAUUCGACGAUACACGAAGAACCUUACCUGGACUUGACAUAGUAAGAACUUUCUAGAGAUAGAUUGGUGUCUGCUUGCAGAAACUUAUAUACAGGUGCUGCACGGCUGUCGUCAGCUCGUGUCGUGAGAUGUUGGGUUAAGUCCCGCAACGAGCGCAACCCUCGUCAUUAGUUGCUAACAGUUCGGCUGAGAACUCUAAUGAGACUGCCUACGCAAGUAGGAGGAAGGUGAGGACGACGUCAAGUCAUCAUGGCCCUUACGUCCAGGGCUACACACGUGCUACAAUGGGGUAUACAAAGAGCCGCAAUACGGUGACGUGGAGCAAAUCUCAAAAAUAUCUCCCAGUUCGGAUUGUAGUCUGCAACU
RNAcentral lists this ribosomal RNA (736 nucleotides) under uncultured Arcobacter sp. RNAcentral's name for it is "bacterial SSU rRNA". It matches the Rfam family "Bacterial small subunit ribosomal RNA", at positions 578 to 1312 of the family's 1533-position model. The record is from RNAcentral. Lineage: Bacteria; Pseudomonadati; Campylobacterota; Epsilonproteobacteria; Campylobacterales; Arcobacteraceae.